AACGAACGCUGGCGGCAUGCCUAACACAUGCAAGUCGAACGAGACCUUCGGGUCUAGUGGCGCACGGGUGCGUAACGCGUGGGAACCUGCCCUUAGGUUCGGAAUAACUCCCCGAAAGGGGUGCUAAUACCGGAUAAUGUCUUCGGACCAAAGAUUUAUUGCUUUUGGAUGGGCCCGCGUUGGAUUAGCCAGUUGGUAGUGUAAAAGCCUAUCAAGGCGACGAUCCAUAGCUGGUCUGAGAGGAUGAUCAGCCACACUGGGACUGAGACACGGCCCAGACUCCUACGGGAGGCAGCAGUGGGGAAUAUUGGACAAUGGGCGAAAGCCUGAUCCAGCAAUGCCGCGUGAGUGAUGAAGGCCUUAGGGUUGUAAAGCUCUUUUACCCGGGAUGAUAAUGACAGUACCGGGAGAAUAAGCACCGGCUAACUCCGUG
RNAcentral lists this ribosomal RNA (433 nucleotides) under uncultured bacterium. Its description in RNAcentral is "partial 16S ribosomal RNA". It matches the Rfam family "Bacterial small subunit ribosomal RNA", at positions 29 to 507 of the family's 1533-position model. The record is from RNAcentral.